RNAcentral lists this ribosomal RNA (417 nucleotides) under uncultured bacterium. Its description in RNAcentral is "bacterial SSU rRNA". It matches the Rfam family "Bacterial small subunit ribosomal RNA", at positions 95 to 528 of the family's 1533-position model. The record is from RNAcentral.
UUGGCGGACGGGUGAGUAACACGUGGGUAACCUGCCUCAAAGAGGGGGAUAGCCUCCCGAAAGGGAGAUUAAUACCGCAUAAUAAGUGCAGUUCGCAUGAACCGCACUUUAAAGGAGAAAUCCGCUUUGAGAUGGACCCGCGGCGCAUUAGCUAGUUGGUAAGGCAGCGGCUUACCAAGGCAACGAUGCGUAGCCGACCUGAGAGGGUGAACGGCCACAUUGGAACUGAGAGACGGUCCAAACUCCUACGGGAGGCAGCAGUGGGGAAUAUUGCACAAUGGGCGAAAGCCUGAUGCAGCAACGCCGCGUGAGUGAAGAAGGUUUUCGGAUUGUAAAGCUCUGUCAUCUGGGACGAUAAUGACGGUACCAGAUGAGGAAGCCACGGCUACCUACGUGCCAGCAGCCGCGGUAAUACGA